This 452-nucleotide long non-coding RNA is filed under the name Musa acuminata (dwarf banana). RNAcentral describes it as "long non-coding RNA (MACU_LNC007860)". The record is from RNAcentral. Lineage: Eukaryota; Viridiplantae; Streptophyta; Magnoliopsida; Zingiberales; Musaceae.
CUCGUAUUGGAAUGAAGAGCUGCGGUGACUAUGGGCCCUAUCAAAAUAAUAUCUAUUUGCUUAUGUUUCUUAUGUAGCUAAGGCCUCUAAGAAGUCAUACUGUAGCUAAGGUGGUUGCUAAGGAUACAAAUACCAAUGGUUGCUAAGGAGACUCCCUAAAGAAAGAAAUCAAGAAGGAUGCUUUCCCGAGCAGGAACAGGAACAGGAGUGAGUUUACCCUACUAUUAGAUAGAAAGAAAGAACGUUUCUCGCAAGGGAGUGGAAUUAUUAGUGUUCUACUAGAUGCACUAGAUCGGUAAACCGGUGCUUGGCUUAACCUAGCCUCUCCUCACCAGACUUGAGAACCGGAACUGGUCAUUCGUUAGCGAGUUAUUCCCUUGAAGAAUCGAUAACUUCACUCGCUUCUUACCUUGCCACCAAGUCAAACAUGAAUUGAUUAUCGAGCACCAGCA